CACGUAGGGCGCGAGCGUUGUCCGGAAUUAUUGGGCGUAAAGAGCUCGUAGGCGGCCUGUUGCGUCCGCUGUGAAAGCCCGGGGCUUAACCCCGGGUCGGCAGUGGAUACGGGCAGGCUAGAGGUAGGUAGGGGAGAAUGGAAUUCCCGGUGUAGCGGUGAAAUGCGCAGAUAUCGGGAGGAACACCGGUGGCGAAGGCGGUUCUCUGGGCCUUACCUGACGCUGAGGAGCGAAAGCGUGGGGAGCGAUCCGG
This 253-nucleotide ribosomal RNA is filed under the name uncultured bacterium. RNAcentral describes it as "partial 16S ribosomal RNA". It matches the Rfam family "Bacterial small subunit ribosomal RNA", at positions 524 to 776 of the family's 1533-position model. The record is from RNAcentral.